UACGGGGGGGGCAAGCGUUGUUCGGAAUUACUGGGCGUAAAGGGCUCGUAGGCGGCCAACUAAGUCGGAUGUGAAAUCCCCAGGCUUAACCUGGGAACUGCAUCCGAUACUGGAUGGCUUGAAUCCGGGAGAGGGAUGCGGAAUUCCAGGUGUAGCGGUGAAAUGCGUAGAUAUCUGGAGGAACACCGGUGGCGAAGGCGGCAUCCUGGACCGGCAUUGACGCUGAGGAGCGAAAGCAUGGGGAGCGAACAGG
RNAcentral lists this ribosomal RNA (253 nucleotides) under uncultured bacterium. RNAcentral's name for it is "partial 16S ribosomal RNA". It matches the Rfam family "Bacterial small subunit ribosomal RNA", at positions 524 to 776 of the family's 1533-position model. The record is from RNAcentral.